GACUUCACAGCAGGCUGAUCCAUCUGCCUUCUGGUUUCCCAGAAGAUUAGGAUCAGGCCGCAACUGAAAUUGUGCUUCAGGGGUAUCAACCUUGAACCACAAAAGAGAACUUCUGCUUUUUCACUCUUUAACUCUCCAUGGGAAGUCAUCAGAUCCAACCUCACACAGAGGCUGGGUAGUUCCUAGCCCAGACAAAUCUAAAGGUCCCACCUCAGUCUAACUGCCCAGUCAUUGGCUGUUGGCUCUUUAUUGCUUGAUCAAAACUAGUUGGGGAGAAGGACCUUCAGCAAUUGGACACACAGACUCCCAAUUUUGGGGCCAGAUUAAUUCAAAGCAUUAGAACCAAUCUCUAACACACUACUGCCCCCAGCUCCUUCCCCCAAGACCCAGCCAAGGAAGCCAAAAAUCUGAAGUAUUUGGUUUACUUCUCACAAACUGCAACCAAAAAGUCUCUUACAGAAUGAUCUUAUGGGCUAUUAGCAUCACAUCUAGGUUACACAGUACAUUCAUGACUCUGCUUCACAUUUACAACUUCAAAAUAAUUUAUAAUUGUAAAUUCCCAAUUUAUAAACUGAAAUAGCUCCUUAUUUUUUUUUAAAAAAAGUUUAUGAAUUGGCUGAGAAUUCUAAUAUUUUUUUAUGGUAUUCCCCCCAACUUUGAAUGCAUUACUAUUAAGCAUUAUUUUUGUUGUUAUUUUCCUUGUUCAUCAAAUUUGUCAUUAAUUAUUUAUCUUAUAAAGAUAGAAAAAUAAAUAUCGUCUCGUCUUUCUUCUCCAUACCUGCUUGGAUCUUUUAGUUGUUCCACUAUUUACUCUCACCAAAUUUAUAUUAUUUAAAAUCUAUCCCAGUACAGUUGACUACAAAUUGAAAUUCUAGACUCUAUGUAAAAAUAAAGAUGCAAGCAACACUUUCAGCAUUAUAUUUGUCACAGAACUCUGGACAGUGAUGUCUUCCUAGUUUGUUAUUGGUCAAUAUUUCAUAAAUAAAGGCCAAGUGGAUUUC
Mastomys coucha (southern multimammate mouse) is the source of this 1001-nucleotide long non-coding RNA. RefSeq lists it as uncharacterized. Lineage: Eukaryota; Metazoa; Chordata; Mammalia; Rodentia; Muridae. The transcript is spliced from 4 exons. The record is from RefSeq and is a predicted model, not a curated record.